AACUAAAACUUAUUUUGCAUCUCCUGUCACAUGGUGAGGCCAAAAACAAUAUCCACAUCUAUGUAACAAACAAAAAACUGAUCAAAUAGAACAAAAGGGAACCAAUCACCAAACCAGAACCGCUUUUCCUUCAAAAAUGGUGAAGAACCACACAAAGAUCCAUCUGAAAUGGAAGUGCAUAAACAAUAAGCAAGGGGAAAGCCCAGGAAGAAGACAAUGACAGUAGAAAAAUAUUAUACUCCCUCUACAAUGCUUCACGUCCAACAACCAGACCAAGAUAGCCCCACCUUAAGCUCCGACUUUGGUAGAAUCAAAACUUAUUUUGUAUCUCCUGUCAAAGGGUGGGACCAAAAACAAUAUACACAUGUACGUAACAAACAAAAAAUAGAUUAAACAGAGCAAAAGGGAACCAAGCACCAAACCAGAACCGCCUUCCCACGAGAACUGGUUAAUUAGAACCCAAAGAUCAAACAUUUGAAGAUUAAAGAGCAUAACAAUAAGCAAAGGGAAAAAGUUCACCUAGAAGAUAAAUCACAAUAGAAAAAUAAUAUACUCCUGUUGACACCCACCAUAAACACUAUACCAAUGGCAGCAUCCAAGAUUGGUCCAUAUCCAAAUAACCAGACCAAGAUAGCCUCACCUUAAAUACCUAACUUUGAUGGAAUCAAAACCAAUUUUGUAUCUCCUGACACAGGGUGAGGCAGAAAACAAGGUCCAAGUCUACGUAACAAAAUAAAACUAUAAUAGAGAGCAAAGAUAACCAAGGAUCAAACCAGAACAGUCUUCCACAGAAGCCUGAUUAAGAAACACACAACGAUCCGGCAUCUGGAAAUUGAAAAGAAUAACGAUAAGCAAGGGAAAGUUUAGGUAGAAUAUAAAAUUUAGUAAAAAAGUUACAAUACUAUACUCCCUAUGCAACCCUUGAUAAACACUAUAUCAAUGACAGCGUCAAAGGUUGCUCCGUGUCCAACAAUCAGACCAAGAUUGCACCACCAUAAGCUCCUACUUUGAUAGAAUCAAAACUUAAUUUAUAUUUUGUGUCAUAGGGUGAUGCAGAAAACAAUAUCCACGCCAACGUAACAAACAAAAAACUGAUGAAAGAGAAAAAAGAUAACAAAGCAUCAAACCGAACAGCCUUCCAAUUAAGAACCACAACGAUCAGAAAUCUGAAAAUUGAAGAGUAUAACGACAAGCACCGGAAACUCUAGGUAGAAGAGAAAAUAUAGUAGAAGAAAAUGUAGUAUAACAAUCUGCAUCCCUCAAUAAACAUUAUAUCAAUUGACAUCUUAUAUUAGUCCGCAUCCAACAACCCCACCAAGUUGGCCCCCACCUUAAGCUCCCACUUUGAUAGAAUAAAACUGAAUUUGUAUCUCCUGUCACAGGGUGAGGGCGAAAAAAAUAUCAAAGUCUACGUAACAAAAAAAAAAAAACUAUAAUAGAGAACACAGACAACCAAGCGUCAAACAAGAACUGCCUUUCAGAGAAGCUUGAUUAAGAACAAAACAGCAACCAAAGAUUUGUCCAUGUCCAAAAACCAGACCAAGAUAGCCCCCACCUUAAGCUCCUACUUUGAUAGAAUCAAAACCUAUUUUGUAUCUCCUGUCACAGGGUGAGGCUGAAAACAACAUCCAAGUCUACAUAACAGCAAAAGAACUAUAAUUGAGAGAGCAAAGAUAACCAAUUAUCAAACCCGAACUGCCUUCCAGUUAAACUUGAUUAAGAACCACAUAAUGAACAGGCAUCUGGAAAUGGAAGAGAGACUAACAAUAACCACAGGAAAGUCUAGAUGGAAGAUAAAUUGUAGUAGAAAAAAAUACUAUAUUAUACUCCCUCUGCCAUCCUCGAUAAACACUAUAAUUGACAGCGUCAAAGGUUGAUCUGUGGCCAAUAUAACUAAACCAAGAUUAGCCCCACCUUGAGCUCCUACUUUGAUAAAAUCAAAACAAAAUUUUUAUCAUCUGCCAUAGGAUGAGGCAGAAAUACAAUAUACACGUAUACGUAACAAACAAAAAAACUGAUGAUAGAGAGAAAAGAUAAACCCAGCAUCAAACCAGAAGUGCCUUCAAGUAAAGAACACCUGGAAAUUGAAGAGUAUAACGAUAAGUAUAGGAAACUCAAGGUAAAAGAGAAAACGUAAAAAAAAAAAAAAUAACUAUACUGUACACCAUCUGCCACCCUCGACAAACACUAUAUCAAUGAUGGCAUCAUAGAUUAGUCCAUAUCCAAAAACCAGACCAAGAUAACCCCCACCUUAAGCUUCAACUUUGAUAGAAUCAAAACCUAUUUUGUCUCCUGGCACAGGGUGAGGACCAAAACAUUGUCCAAGUCUACAUAACAAAUAAACAAUAAUUACAGAGCAAAGGUGACCAAUUAGCAAACCAGAACAGCCUUCCCGUGAAGCUUGAUUAAAAACCACACAGCGAUCAGGCAUCUGGAAAUUGAUGAGAACAACGGUAAGCAUGGGAAAGUCUAGGUAGAAGAUAAAAGAUAGUAAAAAAAAAAAAAACUAUUCUAUACUCUCUUUGCCAGGCCCACACCACUAUAUCAAUGACAGCAUCAAAGGUAGAUCCGUGUUCAAUAACCAGGCCAACAUUAGCCACACCAUAAGCUCCUUCUUUCAAAACUUAAUUUUUAUCUCCUAUCAUAGGGUGAGGCAGAGAACAAUAUCCACGUCUACAUAACAACAAAAAAUUGUUGAAACUGACAAAAGAUAACCAAGAAAACAAGAAGUGCCAUCCAUUAUGGAAAUUGAAGAGUAUAACUAUAAACACGGGAAACUCUAGGUAGAAGAGAAAAUGUAGUAGAAAAAAAAAAUACUAUUAUGUAUUUCCUUUGCGACCCUCGAUUUACAAUAUACCAAUGAUAACAUCAAAGAUCUGUCCGCGUCCAAAAACCAGACCAAGAUAGCCCCCACAUUAAGCUCCUACAGUGAUGGAAUCAAAACCUAUUUUGUAUCUCCUGUCACAGGGUAGGCCCAAAACAAUAUCCAAGUCUAUAUAACAACAAAAGAAAUAUAAUAGAGAGAUCAAAUGCAACCAAUUAUGAACCCAGAACUGCCUUCCAGUUAAGCUUGAUUAAGAACCACACAACGAUCAGGCAUCUGGAAAUUGAAGAGAAUAACAAUAAGCACGGGAAAGUCAAGAUGGAAGAUAAAUUGUAGCAGAAUUAAUACAAUACUAUACUCCCUCUGACACCCUCGAUAAACAUUAUAUCAGUGACAGCAUCAAAAGUUGAUAUGUCUCCAAUAACUAGACCAAGAUUAGCCCCACCAUAAGCUGCUUCUUUCACAACUUAAUUUUUAACCCCUGUCACAAGGUGAGGCAGAAAACAAUAUCCACGUCUACGUAACAAAUAAAAGAUUGUUGAAACUGACAAAAGAUAACCAAGCAUACCAGAAGUGCCUUCCAGUUAAGAACCACACAACAAUCAGACAUCUGGAAAUUGAAGAGUAUAACUAUUAGCACGGGAAACUCUAGGUAGAAGAGAAAAUGUAGUAGAAAAAAAAUACUAUUAUGUACUCCAUGUACUCCCUUUACCACCCACAUUAAACUAUAUCAAUGACAGCAUGAAGGAUUUGUCAGUGUACCAAAAACCAGACCAAGACACGCCCCCACCUUAAGCUCCUACUUUGAUAGAAUCAGAACCUAUUUUGUAUCUCCUAUCACAGGGUGAGGCUGAAACCAACAUCGAGUCUAAAUAACAACAAAAGAACUACAAUAGAGAGAGCAAAGGUAACCAACUAUCAAACCCGAACUGCCGUCCAGUAAGCUUGAUUAAGAACCACACAACGAUCGGGCAUCUGGAAAUGGAAGAGAAUAACGAUAAGCACCGGAAGGUCUAGAUGGAAGAUAAAUUGUAUUAGAAGAAAUACUAUACUAACUCCCUCUGCCACCCUCGAAAAACAUAUCAUGACCAUCAAAGGAUUGAUUGUGUGCAAUAACUGACUAAGAUUAGCCCUACCUUAAGCCCUACUUUGAUAAAAUUAAAACUUAAUUUUUAUCUCAUGUCAUAGGGUGGGGCAGAAAACAAUAUCACGUCUAUGUACAAACAAAAAUUGUUGAAAUGACAAAAGAUAACCAAACAUCAAACCAGAAGUGUCAUCCAGUUAAGAACCACCCCACGAUCAGACAUCUGGAAAUUGAAGAGUAUAUCUAUAAGCACGGGAAACUCUAGGUAGAAGAGAAAAUGUAUAGAAAUAAAAAUACUAUUAUGUACUCCCUUUGCCACCCUCGAUUAACACAAUAUCAAUGACUCAUCAAAGAUCUGUCCGCGUCCAAAAACCAGACCAAGAUAGCCCCCACAUUAAGCUCCUACAGUGAUGGAAUCAAAACCUAUUUUGUAUCUCCUGUCACAGGGUAGGCCCAAAACAAUAUCCAAGUCUAUAUAACAACAAAAGAAUAUAAUAGAGAGAUCAAAUGCAACCAAUUAUGAACCCAGAACUGCCUUCCAGUUAAGCUUGAUUAAGAACCAAACAACGAUCAGGCAUCUGGAAAUCGAAGAGAAUAACAAUAAGCACGGGAAAGUCAAGAUGGAAGAUAAAUUGUAGCAGAAUUAAUACAAUACUAUACUCCCUCUGACACCCUCGAUAAACAUUAUAUCAGUGACAGCAUCAAAAGUUGAUGUCUCCAGUAACUAGACCAAGAUUAGCCCCACCAUAAGCUGCUUCUUUCACAACUUAAUUUUUAACUCCUGUCACAAGGUGAGGCAGAAAACAAUAUCCACGUCUACGUAACAAAUAAAAGAUUGUUGAAACUGACAAAAGAUAACCAAGCAUACCAGAAGUGCCUUCCAGUUAAGAACCACACAACAAUCAGACAUCUGGAAAUUGAAGAGUAUAACUAUUAGCACGGGAAACUCUAGGUAGAAGAGAAAAUGUAGGUAGAAAAAAAAUACUAUUAGUACUCCCUUUACCACCCACUAUUAACACUAUAUCAAUGACAGCAUGAAGGAUUUGUCAGUGUCCAAAAACCAGACCAAGACAGCCCCCACCUUAAGCUCCUACUUGAUAGAAUCAGAACCUAUUUUGUAUCUCCUAUCACAGGGUGAGGCUGAAACCAACAUCCGAGUCUAAAUAACAACAAAAGAACUACAAUAGAGAGAGCAAAGGUAACCAACUAUCAAACCCGAACUGCCGUCCAGUUAAGCUUGAUUAAGAACCACACAACGAUCGGGCAUCUGGAAAUGAAGAGAAUAACGAUAAGCACCGGAAGGUCUAGAUGGAAGAUAAAUUGUAUAGAAGAAAUACUAUACUAUACUCCCUCUGCCACCCUCGAUAAACACACUAUAUAGUGACCACGUCAAAGGAUUGACUUGUGUGCAAUAACUUGACUAAGAUUAGCCCUACCUUAAGCUCCUACUUGAUAAAAUUAAAACUUAAUUUUUAUCUCAUGUCAUAGGGUGGGGCAGAAAACAAUAUCCACGUCUAUGUAGCAAACAAAAUUGUUGAACUGACAAAAGAUAACCAAACAUCAAACAGAAGUGUCUCCAGUUAAGAACCACCCCACGAUCAGACAUCUGGAAAUUGAAGAGUAUAUCUAUAAGCACGGGAAACUCGAGGUAGAAGAGAAAAUGUAGUAGAAUAAAAAUACUAUUAUGUACUCCCUUUGCCACCCUCGAUUAACACAAUAUCAAUGACUACAUCAAAGAUCUGUCGCGUCCAAAAACCAGACCAAGAUAGCCCCCACAUUAAGCUCCUACAGUGAUGGAAUCAAAACCUAUUUUGUAUCUCCUGUCACAGGGUAGGCUCAAAACAAUAUCCAAGUCUAUAUAACAACAAAAGAAAUAUAAUAGAGAGAUCAAAUGCAACCAAUUAUGAACCCAGAACUGCCUUCCAGUUAAGCUUGAUUAAGAACCAAACAACGAUCAGGCAUCUGGAAAUCGAAGAGAAUAACAAUAAGCACGGGAAAGUCAAGAUGGAAGAUAAAUUGUAGCAGAAUUAAUACAAUACUAUACUCCCUCUGACACCCUCGAUAAACAUUAUAUCAGUGACAGCAUCAAAAGUUGAUAGUCUCCAUAACUAGACCAAGAUUAGCCCCACCAUAAGUGCUUCUUUCACAACUUAAUUUUUAACCCCUGUCACAAGGUGAGGCAGAAAACAAUAUCCACGUCUACGUAACAAAUAAAAGAUUGUUGAAACUGACAAAAGAUAACCAAGCAUACCAGAAGUGCCUUCCAGUUAAGAACCACACAACAUCAGACAUCUGGAAAUUGAAGAGUAUAUCUAUAGCACGGGAAAUUCUAGGUAGAAGAGAAAAUGUAGUAGAAAAAAAAUACUAUUAUGUACUCCCUUUCCACCCCGAUUAAACAUAUCAAUGACCAUAAGAUUGUCGGUCCAAAAACCAGACCAAGACAGCCCCCACCUUAAGCUCCUACUUUGAUAGAAUCAGAACCUAUUUUGUAUCUCCUAUCACAGGGUGAGGCUGAAACCAACAUCGAGUCUAAAUAACAACAAAAGAACUACAAUAGAGAAAGCAAAGGUAACCAACUAUCAAACCCGAACUGCCGUCCAGUUAAGCUUGAUUAAGAACCACACAACGAUCGGGCAUCUGGAAAUGGAAGAGAAUAACGAUAAGCACCGGAAGGUCUAGAUGGAAGAUAAAUUGUAUUAGAAGAAAUACUAUCUAUACUCCCUCUGCCACCCUCGAUAAACACACUAUAUCAGUGACCACGUCAAAGGAUUGACUUGUGUGCAAUAACUUGACUAAGAUUAGCCCUACUUAAGCUCCUACUUUGAUAAAAUUAAAACUUAAUUUUUAUCUCAUGUCAUAGGGUGGGGCAGAAAACAAUAUCCACGUCUAUGUACAAACAAAAUUGUUGAAAUGACAAAAGAUAACCAAACAUCAAACCAGAAGUGUCUCCAGUUAAGAACCACCCAGAUCAGACAUACUGGAAAUUGAAGGUAUAUCUAUAAGACACGGAAAUUGGUAGAAGAGAAAAUUAAGUAGAAUAAAAACUAUUAUGUACUCCCUUUGCCACCCUCGAUUAACACAAUAUCAAUGACUCAUCAAAGAUCUGUCCGCGUACCAAAAACCAGACCAAGAUACCCCACAUUAAGCUCCUACAGUGAUGGAAUCAAAACCUAUUUUGUAUCUCCUGUCACAGGGUAGGCCCAAAACAAUAUCCAAGUCUAUAUAACAACAAAAGAUAUAUAAUAGAGAGAUCAAAUGCAACCAAUUAUGAACCCAGAACUGCCUUCCAGUUAAGCUUGAUUAAGAACCAAACAACGAUCAGGCAUCUGGAAAUCGAAGAGAAUAACAAUAAGCACGGGAAAGUCAAGAUGGAAGAUAAAUUAUAGCAGAAUUAAUACAAUACUAUACUCCCUCUGACACCCUCGAUAAACAUUAUAUCAGUGACAGCAUCAAAAGUUGAUAGUCUCCAUAACUAGACCAAGAUUAGCCCCACCAUAAGUGCUUCUUUCACAACUUAAUUUUUAACCCCUGUCACAAGGUGAGGCAGAAAACAAUAUCCACGUCUACGUAACAAAUAAAAGAUUGUUGAAACUGACAAAAGAUAACCAAGCAUACCAGAAGUGCCUUCCAGUUAAGAACCACCCCACAUCAGACAUCUGGAAAUUGAAGAGUAAAAUUAUAAGCACGGGAAACUCUAGCUAGAAGAGAAAAUGUAGUAGGAAAAAAUAACUAUUAUGUACUCCCUUUGCAACCCUCGAUUAACAACAUAUUAAUUGACAAUAUCAAAGAUUUUUCCGUGUCCAAAAACCAGACCAAGAUAGCCCCCACAUUAAGCUCCUAUUGCGAUGGUAUCAAAACCUAUUUUGUAUCUCCUGUCAUAGGGUGAGGGCCAAAUCAAUAUCCAAGUCUACAUAACAACAAAAUAACUAUAAUAGAAAGAGCAAGGGUAACCAAUUAUCAAACCAGAACUGCCUUCCAUUUAAGCUUGAUUAAAAACCACACAACAAUCAAGCAUCUGGAAAUUGAAGAGAAUAAAGAUAAGUAUGAGAAAGUCUAGGUGGAAGAUAAAUUUUAGUAGAAAAAAUUACUAUAAAAUACUCCCUCUGCUACCCUGGAUAAAACCUAUAUCAGAGACAGCGUGAAAGGUUUGAUCUGUGUCCAAUAACUUGACCAAGAUUAGCCCCACCUUAUGCUCCCUACUUUGAUAAAAUCAAAACUUAAAUUUUAUCUCCUGCCAUAGGAUGAGGAGAAAACAAUAUCCACGUCUACGUAGCAAACAAAAAACUGAUGAAAAAGAGAACCAAGCAUCAAACCAGAAGUGUCUUCAAGUUAAGAACCACACAACGACCAGACACCUGGGAUUGAAGAGUAUAACGAUGGAGAGUAUAACGAUAAGAACCAGAAACUCUGGGUAGAAUAGAAUAUGUAGAAGAUAAAAUACUAUUCUGUUCUCCAUCUGCCUCCCUCAAUAAACACUAUAUCAAUGCCGGCAUCAUAGAUUAGUCCAUGUCCAAAAACCCAACCAAGAUAGCCCCAACUUAGAGCUCCUACUUUGAUAGAAUUAAAACCUAUUUUGUAUCUCCUGUAACAGGGUGAGGCCCAAAACAAUAUCCAAGUCAACAUAACAACACAAAAACUACAUUUACAGAGCAAACGUAACCAAUUAUCAAACCAGCCUUCCCGUGAAGCUUGAUUAAGAACCACACAGAGAUCAGGCAUCUGCAAAUUGAUGAGAACAACAGUAAGCACGCGAUAGUCUAGGGAGAAGAUAAAAUGUUGUAAAAAAAAAUACUAUUCGAUACUCCCUCUGCCACACUCGAUAUUAACAGCGUCAAAGGUUUAUCUUCCGAUAACCAGAUUAGCCCCACCUUAAGCUCCUUCUUUUAAUACUUAAUUUUUAUCUCCUGUCAUAGGGUGAGGCAGAAAACAAUAUCCACGUCUACGUAACAAACAAAAAAUUGUUGAAACUGACAAAAGAUAACCAAGCAUCAAACCAGAAGUGCCUUCCAGUUAAGAACCACUGAACCACACAACGAAUCAUCAGACAUCUGGAGAUUGAAGAGUAUAACUAUAAGCACGGGAAACUUUAGGUAGAAGAGAAAAUGUAGUAGAAAAAAAAUACUACUCCAUGUACUCUUCCUAUUGCCACCCUUGAUUAACAAUAUACCAAUGACAGCAUCAAAGAUUUUUCCGUGCCAAAAACCAGACCAAGAUAGCCCCCACAUUAAGCUCCUAUUGUGAUAGAAUCAAAACCUAUUUUGUAUCUCCUGUCACAGAGUGAGGCCCAAAACAAUAUCGAGUCUACAUAACAACAAAAGAACUAAAAUAAAGAGAGCAAAGGUAACCAAUUAUCAAACCAGAACAGCCUUCCAGUGAAGCUAGAUUAAGAAGCUCAGAGCGAUCAAGCAUCUGAAAAUUGAUGAGAACGGUAAGCAAGGGCAAGUCUAGGUAGAGGAUAAAAUGUUGUAAAAAAAUUACUAUACUAUACUUCCUCUGCAACCCUUGAUAAAAACACAAUAUCAAUUUGUCAGCGUCAAAUGUUGGUCCGUGGCCAACAACCAGACCAAGAUUAGCACCACCAUAAGUUCCUAAUUUGAUAGAAUCAAAACAUAAUUUUUAUCUCCUGUCAUAGGGUGAGGCAGAAAACAUAAAUUCAUCAUGAUGAUCUUGAGGCUCCUCACCAGCGAUUAAUCUGUGGCCAGAGAAGAGAACAAUUGAGUAAAUUCAUAACUAUCAGCGUUUCCACCAACUGCCGAUAACCAUCAAACUAUCAGCGCGAAAGGAAAAGGACAAAAUAAACCUUCUGGCUUGAGAGAUCACGAGCUAUCCAAUCGGUUGCCCUACAGAUACAAACGAAAGUAAGCCCCGAUAACCAAUACGGCAGAGGAAAUCAUGAUCUAAAUAGACCGUCAAAACUUGAACUAUAAAAUCUGCACUCGUUGCGAAUAACUGAAUAUUAACCCAAAUCAGCAGAAGGAAUCACAAUAACCGAUCUACACAAAUCAAAUACGUCAAAGUAGAUUGAACAGAAAUCCUCCGCUAGGUCAUCUAUCCUCGCCGCCAUAUGUCAUACCAGACAGGGAAGGCUAAUGGAAAUCGCAACACAAGGAGAGAGUAACCCGAUCGAAAACACAAAACUUAAUCGCCAACGAAAUCGCACCACAAAACACAAUAACCCUAGAUAUGAAUUCAGGAGAAGAGGGCCACAAUAGAAGAAAAAUAAUAGCGAAACACGCAAAGAGGGGGGAUGGGUAGGAGAAUGUGGGGAGAUAUGGUAUAUA
Molecule: long non-coding RNA, 10189 nt
Filed under: Salvia miltiorrhiza (redroot sage)
Lineage: Eukaryota; Viridiplantae; Streptophyta; Magnoliopsida; Lamiales; Lamiaceae
Description: long non-coding RNA (SMIL_LNC005898)
Source: RNAcentral